AUCCUGACCCUCCUCCACCGUCGCCCUGAGCAAAGGAGUGCGCCUGCGCAGUCGAGAAGUGGAGGCGGAAGGGAUGGUGUGCGCGAGGCAAUGCGCUUGCGCAGCCGAAGGGUGGUGGCGGAAGGGAUAGUAGUGCCCUUGUUGACUUGUAAACUGUUCCAAGCGAUGCUGCUGAGGCCAACUUUUUAGAUCUAGUAGUCGUCAAAUAAUAGUUGCAUUUAGUGGUUCAGACUCUAAGGUUUGAACUCUCAUUCAGUCAUUCUUAGCUUUGAUUCUAAAAUCUGGGUAGCCUUAAGCAAGUUAUUUAACCAAAGCUUCGUUUCUUCAGUAGAAAAGGGAUUCUGGCAUUACCCAGCAGGUCCUUGCGAACAUUAGCUCUGCCAUCGCGAUGCCUGGCACAUAUAAAGUGGCCAUUAGCAUGCCAAUAUGUGGCGGUCACACAGACCAAUAGCUAGCUUCACAUUGAACACAUACCUAGAAACCAGCCUGGGAUUUGAAAUGAGAAACCUGCCUCAAGCUUUCUGGGCGAAUGCAGAACUUUACCAAACUGGUAUUUGGGAGCCAUCAUCAAACAAAAGCGAAUUGAUAGUGGUACAAACAGCACAUCAAAGAGGAAAACAUCUGGACUUGUGUUCUUGCCCUGGACAGAAUUGGGGCGCUAUUUGACCUUGACAACGAUAAUCUAUAUCUGGACUCCUCUCUUCUUGGAGACCAAGAUGUUUUGGCAGAAGCAGGGCAUAAAUGGAAAUGUGCCAGGCCAAAUGAGUGAAGCCCCCAGCAUGGUUGCACACCGACUCUACUUUCCUAGCCAGCACCAAGGUCUCAAGUGCCUCAGACCCUGCUCCGGACUGUCUCCUACUUAUGUAUGGUAUUCCCCCCAAAGUAACCCAGGCGUAACUUCUAAUUUCUGUUUUUUCCUGUUAUUGGAACAUUAUAUAGAGGAGCGUUAUAACAGGUGUGGGUUUUUAAGUUUGUUAGUAUUGUGCAUGUGUAUAUACAUGUGUGUAGGUGUAUGUGUGUGUUUAGGUGUGUAGGUAUGUGUGAGUGUGUGUGUGUAGAUGUGUGUGAGU
Molecule: non-coding RNA, 1070 nt
Organism: Cricetulus griseus (Chinese hamster)
Lineage: Eukaryota; Metazoa; Chordata; Mammalia; Rodentia; Cricetidae
Source: RefSeq, a predicted model, not a curated record